Taeniopygia guttata (zebra finch) is the source of this 3562-nucleotide non-coding RNA. The record is from RefSeq and is a predicted model, not a curated record. Lineage: Eukaryota; Metazoa; Chordata; Aves; Passeriformes; Estrildidae.
GGAAGUGGCGUCGCCUGACCCCGCGGCCGCGCAAGAAGCCGGCGACGCCGGGCUCGGGAGGGUUCUGCGGGAAGCGCUGGGAGAGGCCGGAGCUGCGGGAGCUGCUGAGGGGCCGGGACAGUGGCUCCUGAAGCAUCCCGCUGAAGUGGCUCCUGUUCUACCGGCCGGUGCCCCCUGAUCCAGGACGGCCCCCAAGAGAUGGAGAGGAGGUGGAAGAAUGUUUGUCUUUUCUGAUGAGGAAGCCGUAACUCUUUAGGUUUCGUGAGCUGUAACUCUUUAGGUUUCGAGGCCAUACAAGUGUUCAGAGUGUGGAAAGGGGUUUCAGAUCAGCUCACAUCUCCUCCUGCACCAUCGGUUUCACACAGAGGAGAGGCUCUUUUGCUGUCCAGACUGUGGGAAAGGAUUCAUGUACAAUUCCACCCUCAACAACCACCAGUGGAUUCACACAGAGGAGAGGCCCUUCUGCUUCCCUGGCUGCGGGAAGGGAUUGAAGCACAACUCCACCCUUGCCACCCACCAGCGCACCCACAUCGGGGAGAAGCCCUAUCAGAGUCCACAAUGUGAGAAGAGCUUCUCAUAGAGCUCAACUUUGACCCAGCACCAACAGAGCCACUGGUUAGGGAGGCUCUGUGAGUGCCCUGACUGAGGGAAGAGCUUCGUGUGCUGCUCCAACUCCAUCCCUCAUUGAAGGACCCUUGUUGGGAAGAGAUCUGGUGACCCACAUUCCCUUGUGAUCCAUAUUGGGAAGGCACCUAGCUGGCUAUCCUUUUGUUUUGACCUUCAUUUUCUUCUGACUCAACUCCAUCAGCCAAAACAGGCCUGAAAAGAAAGAAAUUGAUCAAUGAUGUCUGAAGUCCCACCAUUUCACAGUUGUUUGAGGGGGAAUUUAGGAUUUGGGGACAUAUUCUGGAGGAUUUGGGGGUUCUGGGAGGAUUUUGGGCAGUGUUCUCCAUCUCUUUGCACUGCAGAAACCAAGAGGGAUCAAUCUGUCACCUCAAAACAACUCAAUCCCACUGAAAACAACUGAAUUCUAACCCAUAAGGGCUCAAUCCCCCCUCAAAAUGGCUUGUUCCCACCUCAAAAAAACUCAACCCCACUCCAAACUCAAUUCCAUAACUGCCAGAGUUAGAUGGGGUUGGAAGGAGACUGGGAGAAGUGGGAUCCAAAUUUGGAGCAGUGGAUCUGGAUUGUGUGGGGCUGAGUGGGUGGGAUGUAUUUGAUAGUAAAUAAAACUUUCAGAGUUAGUGGUUUCUUUCCCAUUCAUUUUCAGUCUGUUGCAGUUCUGUUUGCAGAGUGCCACCUUCCCAGCUGAUUGUGUUUGUGUCCUCCUUUCUCUCCCACCUCUCUUUGCCUGCUCUGUUUAUCUCUCUGUUGGAAUCUGAGGGUUCUGACCUCAGCCCACUCCAGAGUUGGUGAACUCUAGGGAAGGGCUUCCUGUUGGAGGAUGGCUGCAGGAGCAGGGCCAUGAAUCCUUAGAAUACCUGCUCCAGCACUCCCCUGUCUGAGACCCCAGAACCAAGCACUGUGUCUGGCCUGGGAACAGAGCCUGGGAACAGCAUUGUGCCUGGCCUGAGAACAGACACUGUGCAGGGCCUGUAGGCUAGGAGCCAGGCACUGUGCAAGGCCUGGGAAUGGCACAGAUAACAAAGGCAGCAUAUCCUUGAAGAUAUGAGUUGUACAAGAACAGAGUGUGAGACAACACGUGCCCAGCAGGAUAAGAUGUGCUGGGAGGACGUGACUGAGAGAAGAAGAACUUGGCUUGAGAAACUUGACUGCAGCUGUAACUGUACGUAGAAGAAGUUCUAACAAAGACCUUUGUGAAAUAGCCAAUGAAAACUAUUGCUGGCUUUGCUUGUAGAAAACCCUACAUAAACUGUAAGAAUCCUGGAAUAAACUUGAGGCUUGCUUUUCAAUUAUAUUGAUUGUGUGCUUGUCCUCCCUCACUGCCCAACUUCAACUUCCCAUCUGGAAAUUGAUUCCUUAAAUUUACAUUUAAGAAGUGACAAUUUUGUUGUGAUCUGGCCAGACUAUGCCAGUUUUGUUUUACCAGUGGGCAUGGUGUCUAGGUUUGGAAAGACAGGUGUCUGCUAAGGAAGGCAGGAGCCUCCCCUGAAAUGGAAAAAUGUAGACCCCUUCCCUCUGAAUUGUUAUAAAUUUGAAAUUAAGGAGGAUUCUCAGGCAAAAAUAUGGAAGCAGGAAUAACAGUUCUUUAUUAGGGAAGAAAAUAAAAAGAUAAAAUAAGCAAUGCAGUGAACCAAAACAACACUGACAGAGUCAGAAUACAACCUGACACCCUGUUUGGUGUUGGUAGCAGUCCAAUUGGAAUUGUAGCUGCAGUCCUCCUGGAGUGUCAGGUGUGGUUCUGUUGGAGUAGUGAUCUUGUAGAAAAAGGGUGUAGACUUCCUCCAAAGAGGCAGUGGAAGAGGCAACUGUUUUUCUGGGAAAAUCCAGCACAGAAAAAGCUGUGCUAGUGGGACAGAAUCUCAAGACUAUAUGCAGGUAGGAAUGCUUAGCUCUUCUAUCUUACAAUCUUACAAUGGGAUGUUAUAGCUUUUAUCAGUCAUGCAGUGACAUUCAAUAGCCCAUUAUCAGCAGAUGUCUUUCCGGAGGGAGGAUUGAUUGUGGAAGGGAUAAGGAGAAACUGCCCACUUAACACAAGACAACUGCCAUACAAAUGGCAAGUAGAAUACAUCUUGCUUUUCAAUCUGGGACACAGGGUCAGCACCAAAGACACAAACACCAACUGAAGGAAUCAGUGUAAUUGCUGUAGUUCAAAGCAGCAAAGAAUCACAGAAGGAGAAGCUCAGCAAUGCACCCAAUCAUCACUACCAAAGAUUGCCUGCAGUGAUUAAGAAAGAUCCAUCACUGUUGCAGUGAGGUGGCUGCAACAAACCUCUGGUUCCCUGACUUCAGAGCGAGGGUGGUGAAAAUGAAAAGGAGGAGCUUCGAUGAGGUUGCCUGGAAAGAACUUUAAUAAAGGGUGCAAAACAACAAACAUGGAGAAGCUGAGCACAGUAUGAGGGAAAAUAUCCAAAGACCCAUAACAAAGUGGAAGCAACAACAUAUACACUUGGAGGUGGAACAUUCUGGAACUAUAACCACAUAGGGGAAACAAUCAGUAGGGGAGCAGAACUUGGACAACUUAAUAUAGUAACACCAAAGGCUUAUGGGGGAACUCUCAGGCUCGCCAUAAGCUAAACAAUUGAUUCCCAGGUCUUGAAAUGAAUACCCAGUUCUUCUGGGGUAAAAUCUGGCUGACUUUGAGUCACAGCCGGGCCAAUACCCACAUCUCCCCCUGUGGAUGCCAGCAAGGUCAGGGAGAGAGAAACAGCAAUCGUUUCUCACAGUGGCUUGUGAAAAUUUUUAGGGAGUUGUAGGGAUGUGAUAACUUGUUAGUAUAAACAUUUUGCAGGUGGUGAUUUUCUACUUUGUUUUUCUGUUCUCAGGGAUGGUGUGUAAGAAAGAUGUUUUUAUUAACUAGCCAAUCAAGUGGAAUGUAUCAUAUCAGUCUAUAUAAGCCGGAGAAUCCAUUGUAUUAAAGCUUCUUUUUUUCCUCUUGCAA